AGAAGUGAGAAUGCCGGUAUGAGUAGCGAAAGACAGGUGAGAAUCCUGUCCACCGAAUGACUAAGGUUUCCUGGGGAAGGCUCGUCCUCCCAGGGUUAGUCGGGACCUAAGUCGAGGCCGAGAGGCGUAGACGAUGGACAACAGGUUGAUAUUCCUGUACCAGUUGAUUGUGCUUGAGUGAUGGAGUGACGCAGAAGGCUAAGCGAUCCGGACGAUUGGAAGUGUCCGGCCAAGCAGCAAGUCAGUUGAUGAGUCAAAUGCUUAUCAGCGGGUUGACAAGCUGUGAUGGGGAGCGAAAUUAUAGUAGCGAAGUCGUUGAUGUCACGCUGCCGAGAAAAGCUUCUAGCGAAUAAUCAACUGCCCGUACCGCAAACCGACACAGGUAGUCGAGGAGAGUAUCCUAAGGUGAGCGAGCGAACUCUCGUUAAGGAACUCGGCAAAAUGACCCCGUAACUUCGGGAGAAGGGGUGCUGAUCGCAAGAUCAGCCGCAGUGAAAAGGCCCAGGCGACUGUUUAUCAAAAACACAGGUUUCUGCAAAAUCGUAAGAUGAAGUAUAGGGGCUGACGCCUGCCCGGUGCUGGAAGGUUAAAAGGAAGAGUUAGCUUCGGCGAAGCCCUGAAUUGAAGCCCCAGUAAACGGCGGCCGUAACUAUAACGGUCCUAAGGUAGCGAAAUUCCUUGUCGGGUAAGUUCCGACCCGCACGAAAGGCGUAACGAUCUGGGCACUGUCUCAACGAGAGACUCGGUGAAAUUGAAUUGCCUGUGAAGAUGCAGGCUACCCGCGACAGGACGGAAAGACCCCAUGGAGCUUUACUGUAGCUUGAUAUUGAGUGCUUGUACUGCUUGUACAGGAUAGGUAGGAGCCAUAGAAGCCAGGACGCUAGUUUUGGCAGAGGCGUUGGUGGGAUACUACCCUUGCAUUAUGAUCACUCUAACCCGCACCACUGAUCGUGGUGGGAGACAGUGUCAGGUGGGCAGUUUGACUGGGGCGGUCGCCUCCCAAAAGAUAACGGAGGCGCCCAAAGGUUCGCUCAGAAUGGUUGGAAAUCAUUCGCAGAGUGUAAAGGCACAAGCGAGCUUGACUGCGAGACAGACAGGUCGAGCAGGGACGAAAGUCGGGCUUAGUGAUCCGGUGGUUCCGCAUGGAAGGGCC
This 1153-nucleotide ribosomal RNA is filed under the name metagenome. Its description in RNAcentral is "bacterial LSU rRNA". It matches the Rfam family "Bacterial large subunit ribosomal RNA", at positions 1284 to 2443 of the family's 2925-position model. The record is from RNAcentral.